Paramuricea clavata is the source of this 251-nucleotide non-coding RNA. The record is from the annotation of a GenBank genome assembly. NCBI's taxonomy places the organism in Eukaryota, Metazoa, Cnidaria, Anthozoa, Malacalcyonacea, Plexauridae.
UAUGGGUGUUUUCUGGAAUGACCCAAUAUAACAGUGGUUUUUUUUUUCAAAUCUAAUCAAGCUGUCAAAUUGUCAAUCCUUGUACAUGGGGAGGGGAAAUUUCGGAGAAAGAAAAAUUGUGACCGAUCUGGUUGAGGGUCCAUCUGUAGGCCUGGCCAUAGACGUACAGGGCGGGGCCCGAUUGUUGGGCAGACUAGGCCAGUCGGGAAAUAUUUACUUCACAGUUGGGCAAUACUGGCUUAUUAUAAAAA